CCGCGGGGGAAUCGCAGUGAGCAGCGCGGGGCGAGGCCGCCGCGGACGCCCCGUCGGAUGUGCCCUUCGCUGGGCCGAGCGGCGCAGGGUUGGAGAGGGAAGCGCUCGUGCCCACCUUGCUCGCAGGUGCCCUUGCUGACCUGGGUGAUGGCCUUCUCCCCGCGGCUCUCGGCCCUCUGGCUGGCGGCGCGCAGCUGGCAGCCGCUCGGGUAGGUGGUGCCGUCGCUGCCGCACACCGGGUAGCGGCUCUUGCACACGCACACGCCGCUUACACCCGGACCGCCGGCUGCUGCCCCGGCUUUACCCUUCCGCCUCUUGCGGCUCUUCACGCACUCCAUGCCCGGCGCGCAGUACCCCCUGCCGGCGCCGCCACCCCCGCACGGCUCGCCCUCGCCGCGGGCGCACAUAGGGCAGCAGCCGCACGCGUCGCGGGUCUCGCCCAGCAGGCAGCCCAGCGGGGGCAGGGGCGGGCAGGAGGCCGGCUCGCAGGGGCCGCAGGUGUCCGAAGAGGAGGAAGAGGAGAGGGGCAGGAGCAGGAGCAGCAGCCCAGCGGCGCCGAGGAGCAGGGCGCGCAGCGACGGCCGCUCCAUGGCGGGGUGCGGUGGCAGCGGCAGAAUUUGAGUAUCCUACCAAUAUACCUACAAAAGGAUGAAAGAAGAUUUGGAGUCAAGGGAAAACAAGGGCAAUAAAAUAGAAGCUUACCACCUGCUCUCAUACAGUUGCUAGAAGAGGACUGCAUAUUUGGUUCUAAGUUUCUGGAAGAUAAAGCCAAAAUAGAAACACAACUCAUUAUAAAAUUUUGGUGUAUCCAUAAAAUAAAAACAAAUGACCUGUUUG
Molecule: long non-coding RNA, 837 nt
Filed under: Homo sapiens (human)
Lineage: Eukaryota; Metazoa; Chordata; Mammalia; Primates; Hominidae
Description: long non-coding RNA NONHSAT096544.2
Source: RNAcentral